This 78-nucleotide non-coding RNA is filed under the name Flavobacterium johnsoniae. Its description in RNAcentral is "Flavo-1 RNA". It matches the Rfam family "Flavo-1 RNA". RNAcentral also lists the same sequence under 1 other name. Lineage: Bacteria; Pseudomonadati; Bacteroidota; Flavobacteriia; Flavobacteriales; Flavobacteriaceae. The record is from RNAcentral.
CCCUAGCCCUGAUAGCAGCGGCAUCCUUUUUGUUUUUUCUUUAAAAACAAAAAGAUAUAGCGGAUAGCAGGAAAUAGC